UAUCGUACGUAUUACGUGGAUUUGAUGGAACGAGUGAAAGAAAUAGAAAGGGGGAAAAGUGACAGAGAAAGAGAAAAAGAGAAAGAAAGAGAGAGAGAGAGAGAAAGAUGAGAGAAAGAAAAGAAAAAAAAAAUCUAUAUAGUGUAUCUAAGAAUUGACAGUUUAUAACUUAUAGAGAAUGAAGAACUAUAUGAAACGCGCACAGAGAGCACAGUGGCAAAGCAGCCAGGCGUACAACUGAAUCUCCUUCGGAUUCAGCAUCCCGCACGGCUGACGCGCUCUGCGCUCUGGACCGCCACCUCGCCAAGGGGUAGCAGAACGAAGAGACGAUGGUAGAAAGGGAGGGAACGAUCGGUGAAAAGUGCUACAGAGAGAGAGAGAGAGAGAGAGAGAGAGAGAGAGUGAGAGUGAGAGAGAGGGAAAGAGAGAGGGAGAGAUACGUUGUUGAUAGGGUGGGAGAGAGAUGAUAGGAGGUAGUAGAGAUAGUAAGAGGCAAAUAUAGAAACCGAAAUGAUGACCGAGAUGAUGACGAUGACGAUGACGAUGAUGAUGAUGAUGAUGAUGAUGGUUGAGUAGCAUUGUCAAUCGUACAGUUCUAAAAAUAAGAACAAAUGAAAAUAAAAAUGUAGAAGAUUCAGGAAUGAUUUGAGAUGAAUGAGAAGCAAGUUGUCUGUGCAACGUUCUUGGUAAGAAGCGAAAAGAAGGAAAAAAGUAAGAGAGAAAUGGAAGAAGAAAAAAGGGGAUAGUAAGUGGGGAAAAGGGUGGGGGAGGCGGACGGGGGUGGGUGGAUUUAAGGAAAAAGAAGAGGAUAAGAAGUCCGUGGGGUCGAACUGAGGAUUGUUGUAUGAGUUUAUGUGUAUAUAUGUAUAUAUGUAUAUAUGCAUGUGUUGUGUGUAUACUUGUGUAAGAGAGAACGAGGGAGGGAGAGUGGCAAAUCCACGUGCAGGGGGCAAGCGUAUUGAUCUGUUCGCGCAAACUCCUGGCUCUUAGCUUUUCUCCGCAACCGGGUCCAUAUCGUCAUACCCGUACCAUUCCUCUUUCAUCCUCCGAAUACACGCGGCGAACUUAAAUACACCUCGAUAGUUUCGAGUAUGGUCAUCGUCCUCCUAAGAAAAAGAUAUAUAUGAACUAAACCGUCUGAUACUUUUCUCAGAAUAGGAUAGAAUAGGAUAGGAUAGGAUAGGGGUAGUAUAGAUUAAAAGUUUUAUUUCAAUUCAUUUUUUCUAAUUUAACUCGUGAGAAAUAUUAUUACUCUUUUUUUUAUACUCUGUUACUUUUAAUAACGACAAAUGGAUUGUCAUCAUAUAAUUCGUGACAAAGAGAAAUUACAAUUAUUCGUAUAAAAAAUAAUUAAACUAUUAUCUUUUCGUUUUGCUUUUUUUCGAGAAGAAAAUAAGCGCGUACUUUAAAUUUGCCCCCCCCCCUUUCUCUCUCUCAGGAUGCUUGUAGACACGAGCGAAUUUGAAAAAGAAAAAAGAAAGAAAAGAAAGAAAAGAAAAUUACGAUCUUCCUUUUUUUAUACCUCGAAUAAAGAAUUGUUCGAUGUAAUCCUAGCGAAAUAACGAUGGUUCAAAGUUGAGAGCCAAUUAAAUGCUUAAGGGGCAUUGGAAAAAGAAACGAUUGUUCGUCAUAGAAUCGAUAAAAAAUAUAUAUAUCGUGUGAAGGAAAAUAGGAGAAGCAAAUAGAAGGACAAAGAGGGAAAAAGAAAGAAAAAAGAGGAGAGAGAGAGGGGGAUUAAAAUCCGCGUACGCGAGGGUAGAAACAAGAGAUACGAUGAUACUGGAUGAAAGAAUGAAAUAGAAGAUAUGCACAAGAGGACGGAUAAAGAUUUCAAAGAGAAACGAAGUCUUUUACCGGUCGGUAUAUGUAUUUGUGUUUUUGUGUAGAUGUAUGUAUGUAGAACUCGAGGGUACCUCGAGCACGCGAAAAAUAACUCUAGCCUUUUUCUUCCUUCCUUCCUUCCUUCCUUCCUUCUUUUUUUUCUUUAUCUAUUAGCAAGGAAUAGAAGGGAAGUACUAUUCAUUAAACAUUCGUAUUUAUAUUUCACACCAGAGUAGAGGUAGUCUUAAUGAUAAACUAUAGGACGUUGAAAUCGAAGGAAAAAGUGCAAUUUAAAGAAGCGAGAUUAAUAGUAGAUACUUAUUUGUCGAAUAAUAGAAAAGAAAAAGAUAGCUAAAGUGAAAACAAUUAAAAUUCAAUACGGUACUUGUGGUGGGGAAGAGUGCAACAACAUAAGAAAA
Molecule: long non-coding RNA, 2240 nt
Filed under: Polistes fuscatus (common paper wasp)
Lineage: Eukaryota; Metazoa; Arthropoda; Insecta; Hymenoptera; Vespidae
Description: uncharacterized LOC122521052
Source: RNAcentral